AUUAGUUCGUAUUUCAUGCAUAGCAUAUCUUGAGUUAAUACGAAAAUAAGAUCUCCGGUAACUAGAAACAACCAAGAGAAGCUUUGCUUGAGCCUCCAAUGAUAUAUUGUACAUGAACUGCUUUCCAAUCUCUAUUGCCAAUAUGUUAAUAUACAAUAAAAAACCAGAUACAGUUCACUGUGAUUAAAGCUUUCUAUGCAAAUCCAGGGUUAUCUGAGAUUUGGGUCUUGCUUGGUGAUAGUUCUUCGGGUUUACCGGGAUUCCUUCAAAGAGAGAUGGGGGACCAGAAAAAAAAAAUAAACAUAGCAGAUCAUAUUCUACGCAGAGGACUGAGCAAUUAAAGAUACCUAUCCUACUUCAUGGGAGAAGAUGCAAACUUGAGAGUAAAAAUGAAAGAAGAUGAGUUACUUCAAGAAUCAACCUCUACACUGGACAAAAAAAAGUUGCAAAGAAGGAAACAAAGAUGGAGAAGACAAUGUUUCAAGCAGUUCAGCUGUCACUAUUAUGUACAAGAUCCUGCCAAAUUUGAUUUUUAUAGAGCCAACCUCCACCUCUUGCCUUAUUAAGUAGAAGAACAAGAAUGCUUUAAAUGUAGACUAGCAGCAGUUAGCAGUUAUUAAAAGCAUGAAAAUUUGCAAGAAGAUAGAUAGAACAACAAAUCCAGAAAUGUUAGCAAUCUUGCUAAGUGAUUUUGUAGCUAAUAAGCCUUCUUCAGAAAGUUCAUUGGCAAAAUGAAGCAAAUUCAACAAAUUUAAUGGAAAACUUCUAAAUUGAUUUUCCUAGCUACAUUAGUAAAUAAUUAGGAUAGAGUACAUGGUGAUUUUAUAAGCAAAGUUUAACUCAACGAUGGUGUGAUUCAAAGUUGAAACUAAAUAAACUAGUAACCAAAGGAAACAUCAAUCAGAUAGAUAUACUAGAUAGAAGAAUCUAUGUAAUCAGAAUUUGUGAUGAAACAUCCUAGAAUCCAUUAAUAUGCAUUACAUGAACUGAUGAACAACAAAGAUCAGAUAGGAAGACAGAACUCAAGAUUGGAGAAAAUCUAAACCCCACCCAUAAAUAUCCGCAGAAUCUAUUAUAUCCUCUUUGAUGUAUAUAGCAUCUCUUAGUUAAACAACAACAACAAGUAAGUCUUAAUCCCAACCUAGUUGGGGUCGACUACAUGAUCCUUUUUCGAGAUUUAGUCUAUCAUCUCUUAGUUAAAGAAGAAAAAAUUUAACUCCAAUCUUGAAUCUUAUACCUGUCAACUUCAUUAUUCUUAUUUUUACAACCUGAUUGCCCAUGUAUACCUGUAGCUGCAAAAUUCAUGGGUAUCAGAAUCAGUUUAGUUACUGCUAUACAUCAACUUCUCCUGCAUUUUGCAGCCUACCGGUUCAACUAUGGCUCUCCGAUUCGUCAUCAUCUUCCACUUCUAUGCUGUUGCCUCCAGUACUAGAGAUAUCUUUGGCAGAUCCAGAUCCAUGGAAGGGUCCUUUAGGAGAAUUAGACUCUGAAAUAGUUGAUUUUGAUGGAUCUUUGCAUUGAUCUUGAGUCAUCCAUAAGUCAUUUGCUUGAGGAGCUGAAGAAGCAGGAAGUUUACGGAUAUGAAGCCUGUAUUUCUGCUCAAGAACAAAACAUAAUCAGUACUAUACUACAUAUUAUUUCUUCAUAGUAGAAGAACUGCACAGAAAAGAGGUUUCCGAAACCGAAUGGGAAAACAUACUUGCAAGUGACUCUUAACUUCGUCAUUGGUGAGGCCAUCCACUUGCAUAAGCUCUCUUAUCUGUUUGGGAGUGGCCACUGCAAUCCAAUCAGAGUUAGACAAUGAUAACAUAAAAAGAACUACAUUUAAGUACAUAAAAGCAACAAAAUUAUUCAAACCCAGUAUUUUAGCAUAUAAAGACACAAGCCAGUGAAUCAAUUUAACUGAAAAUCCAAAUCACUUCCUCUUCUUACAUCAGCAGAUCUCUAUAAUUUUAAUUUACACAAAAAGAUUGCAGCUUUCAGGCAAUUUCAUUGUUUUCCCCUAUAAUUCACAGAUUUCCGGGAACUACCCAAAUAUCAAUUUUUCGAGGAUCAAUUUUGUUAUAUUGCCAAAAGAAACAAAAUUUCGAUAGGCUUCUAACCUUGAGAUCCACCAAGUUGUUGAAGGGCAUCAACAAAGCGCCGGUGAAGCUCCGGCGACCAGCACCGCCUCUGUUUCUUGUAAGAAGGCUGCUGCUGCGGUUGGGGUUUAUUCUGUAUCUUCAUUUGAAUAUUGCCGUUGCUUUUUGACAUCAAAUUACCGGAACCCAAUUCAGAUACUGGAGUCAGAAUAGAGAGUCCGGUACCUUGCGAGACAACCUCCUUCUCCUCCUUCCUUCCUGUCCCUUCAAACACAGAAAGUGACUUAAACGGCAUAAUUGCCUCUCCUUUGCUUCUGUAAUUACACAACUGAAUUGGGUUCUCACAAGUCGAGCGAUCAUCUUCUUCUUCACUUCUCUGUUUAGUUUCUGAUUUUGAGUCAUGCUGCUUAGAAUCAGAGUUAAUAUCGUUAGUACUCCAAAGUUGAACAGAGCUCAUCCAGUUCUUCUUAUCACUCAUAUCAUUUCCUAUGUUUCUCCCUGUAUCUGCUCCAGAAUUCUGUACAACCACCACUGUCCCAGCUCGAUCCUCUAAUUCCCUACACUGCAUUGCCUCCUCCUUCAACCUCACAAUAGCAUCGUUCAAGAGAAGCAUGCAAAGAGGCAGCUCACGUUUAAAAGCAUCAAUCUUUCUCAUCUCCUCUUCUAAUUUCUUCACAUAAUCAUCAAGCUUUGAUAAUUUCUGAUUAUUAUCUUCAACCUUGGAAACCUCUCUAAGAUACUCACUAAUCGUUUUGGGUACAUAGACCAAGCUCAAAUCCAAGCUCAACUCCAUUUUCUUUCCUUCCUUUUUGUUUCUAUCUCUUAUUUCCUCCUAAAUUAUUGCCUAUUUUGGUUUCUAACAUUGCCCAGAUGAACAAGGAAAUGAAUAAAGAAAGAGAAGACAGCUGUCCAUAUAUAGAGAUAGAGGAAAGAAGAUAAAAUUCAGAUUCAGGGACGCGAAGAUUCGGUUCUCACAUUUCGGGUCGUCGCAUAUUUGAGUGUAACUCGG
RNAcentral lists this unclassified non-coding RNA (3090 nucleotides) under Hevea brasiliensis (rubber tree). The record is from RNAcentral. Lineage: Eukaryota; Viridiplantae; Streptophyta; Magnoliopsida; Malpighiales; Euphorbiaceae.